ACUCCUACGGGAGGCAGCAGUGGGAAUAUUGGACAAUGGGCACCGUACUCCANCCGAUGCGCGUGUGUGAAGAAGGCCUGAGGGUUGUAAAGCACUUUUAGUGGGGAGGAAAGUUAACAGGUUAAGAGCUAGUUAAGUUGACGUUACCACCAUCAAUCAAGCACCGGCUAACUCCUCGCCAGCCAGCCAGCCGGUAAUAACGGGGUGGCAGGGCAGUUAAUACGGAGUUAAUUGGGACGGUUAAAGGGUUGGCCGUAAGGGUUUGGCUUUAAUUUGAAAUGUUCAUUAGGUGGGCAAAUUACCUGGGGCAUCCAAGCCUCGGAAAUCGAGCAGGGAUCGAUACUGAAGAUACUAGAGUAUAGUAGAGGGUAGUGGAUUUCCGGUGUAGCGGUGAAAUGCGUAGAGAUCGGAAGGAACACCAGUGGCGAAGGCGGCUACCUGGACUAUACUGACACUGAGGCACGAAAGCGUGGGUAGCAAACAGGAUUAGAUACCCU
This 497-nucleotide ribosomal RNA is filed under the name uncultured bacterium. RNAcentral's name for it is "bacterial SSU rRNA". It matches the Rfam family "Bacterial small subunit ribosomal RNA", at positions 335 to 788 of the family's 1533-position model. The record is from RNAcentral.